ACCGCGUACUUACCUACUGUAU
RNAcentral lists this microRNA (22 nucleotides) under Ictalurus punctatus (channel catfish). RNAcentral's name for it is "ipu-miR-7564". The record is from miRBase by way of RNAcentral. Lineage: Eukaryota; Metazoa; Chordata; Actinopteri; Siluriformes; Ictaluridae.